CCAUGGGUACAUGAAGGACUCAAAGUGGAAAAGGAAAACGGAAGUGCAAAGAUAAAGUUAGAGAACUGUGGUGGCAAGCCGGAGUAAAUAACGAUUGACAGAUUCAGGGGUGGUUGAGACGUAGAUUGAGGUGUCCACAUACUCCCAUCUUUUGGGUAGGUACUUUGACAUUUAGUAGUCAUAUCUCCCAUCCAGAGUCACUCCGCUGACAGUCAAGUUCUAAUUACGUGUAUAUGACUAUUUGUUGUGAAAUGCUGAGAUUCACUUGUCAAAUUAUAUGUAUGUAUAUAAUGGUUAAUGAUGGCAUUAUGAAUACAUGACUGGGUUUUAUGAGUUGUUUUCAAAGGAAUUGUAAUUGAGCAUUAUGAAUUUCGGAUUCUAAAGGAAUAUGGAUUAACGUAUAAGAUCAUGUAAGUAGGCUUGCUUGGGCUCGGUGGGUUGAGCCCAUUGGUCCCUUGCACCGGUCAUGGCCUGAAAAUUGGGCUGUGACAAACUUGGUAUCAGAGCUCUAGGUUUAGUUGAAUCUUAGAGAUUCCUGUGU
Non-coding RNA from Theobroma cacao (cacao), 541 nucleotides. The record is from RefSeq and is a predicted model, not a curated record. Lineage: Eukaryota; Viridiplantae; Streptophyta; Magnoliopsida; Malvales; Malvaceae.